This 29-nucleotide non-coding RNA is filed under the name Rattus norvegicus (Norway rat). Lineage: Eukaryota; Metazoa; Chordata; Mammalia; Rodentia; Muridae. The record is from RNAcentral.
UAUCAUGAGUGGAAAUCAUGGUAGCAGUC